Molecule: long non-coding RNA, 447 nt
Filed under: Felis catus (domestic cat)
Lineage: Eukaryota; Metazoa; Chordata; Mammalia; Carnivora; Felidae
Description: lncRNA (ENSFCAG00000051749.1)
Source: RNAcentral
AUGUACGUGGGGUCUGAGUACACCUGGGGGUGCCGAACGUUCCACCUUUCUAACAAGCCGGGUGAGGGGGAUGCUGCCUGUGGGCGACCGCAGUUGAGAAGGCCCUGGGGACGCCCUGCCUACCCUCCGCUUACAGGUGCAUUCGGGUCGCUGUUCGUUAACCGGGGUGUCCAGAGCCCUGCGCCUCAGGGACGGACUCGGGACCCGCGGUUAAUAGGGCCGGGACUGCCACGUGCGGAGACAGCGCCCGCCGUCUGGGUGGAGUGGAGCGAGGACGCGCAGUGCGCAGGGGCCCCGCCUCUGGGGCUCGUGCGGAAGCCAGGCGGCGCCAAAGGACGCGAGGAGAUGGCUUCCCGGCAGACCCUCAGGACUACGCAUGCAGGCGCACUCCCGGGAGGGCUUCUUGUGUCCGCAGACAAGGAGGGAAGAGCUGAGGAAACAAAUUAA